Long non-coding RNA from Thalassophryne amazonica, 313 nucleotides. RefSeq lists it as uncharacterized. Lineage: Eukaryota; Metazoa; Chordata; Actinopteri; Batrachoidiformes; Batrachoididae. The transcript is spliced from 2 exons. The record is from RefSeq and is a predicted model, not a curated record.
CACCAGGCUACAAAGUCCUCCACCACCUGCCUGGACUCUCUCUCCUCUCCCUCUCUGAUGCAGGCCACAAUAGCUGUGUCAUCUGAAAACUCAGAUGUAUACAGUGUGAAUAGAGCAGGAGACAGUACAGUCCCCUGGUGGGCUCCCACACUGCAGCUUAGGGUGCUGGAGAUGUUUUGUCCCAUGCGGACUUACUGUGGCCUGUUGUUUAAAUAGUCCACGAUCCAGGACACCAGGAGUGACUCCACACUCAUCCCAAUGAGCUUCUCCUGCAGCAGGUGAGGCUGGAUGGUAUUCAAAGCGCAGGAGAAAU